RNAcentral lists this small RNA (125 nucleotides) under Serratia ureilytica. RNAcentral describes it as "RtT sRNA". It matches the Rfam family "RtT RNA". From Rfam's summary of the family: This family represents a bacterial cis-regulatory element known as RtT RNA. The record is from RNAcentral. Lineage: Bacteria; Pseudomonadati; Pseudomonadota; Gammaproteobacteria; Enterobacterales; Yersiniaceae.
UAGCCCACUGAGUCGUGCGGGUGAAAUCCUGCGUUCAGGUUCGAGCAUCGCGCAGCGAUACGACAACGCGCAGCGUUGCCCGUAGGGUGAGGCCACAGGCCGAAUCAAUCCUGCACGACCCACCA